CCGAGUUUACAACUCCCAAAACCCCUGUGAACAUACCACUUGUUGCCUCGGCGGAUCAGCCCGCUCCCGGUAAAAACGGGACGGCCCCGCCAGAGGACCCCUAAACUCUGUUUCUAUAUGUAACUUCUGAGUAAAAACCAUAAAUAAAAUCAA
This 153-nucleotide unclassified non-coding RNA is filed under the name soil metagenome. RNAcentral describes it as "partial internal transcribed spacer 1". The record is from RNAcentral.